RNAcentral lists this ribosomal RNA (1454 nucleotides) under uncultured prokaryote. Its description in RNAcentral is "partial 16S ribosomal RNA". It matches the Rfam family "Bacterial small subunit ribosomal RNA". The record is from RNAcentral.
UAACAGGAAAAGCUUGCUUUUCGCUGACGACCGGCGCACGGGUGCGUAACGCGUAUGCAACCUACCUGUAACAGGGAGAUAGCCCAGGGAAACUUGGAUUAAUACCCCAUAAUAUUGUUUAAUCACCUGAUUGAACAAUUAAAGUUUCGGCGGUUAGAGAUGGGCAUGCGUAACAUUAGCUAGAUGGUAAGGUAACGGCUUACCAUGGCCACGAUGUUUAGGGGUUCUGAGAGGAUUAUCCCCCACACUGGUACUGAGACACGGACCAGACUCCUACGGGAGGCAGCAGUGAGGAAUAUUGGGCAAUGGAGGCAACUCUGACCCAGCCAUGCCGCGUGCAGGAAGACGGCCCUAUGGGUUGUAAACUGCUUUUAUAUACCAAGAAACCCCAUCACGAGUGAUGGCUUGACGGUAGUAUAUGAAUAAGGACCGGCUAACUCCGUGCCAGCAGCCGCGGUAAUACGGAGGGUCCGAGCGUUAUCCGGAUUUAUUGGGUUUAAAGGGUGCGCAGGCGGUACAAUAAGUCAGUGGUGAAAUCCUACGGCUCAACCGUAGAACUGCCAUUGAUACUGUUGCUCUUGAGUUCGGUUGAGGUAGGCGGAAUGUGGCAUGUAGCGGUGAAAUGCUUAGAUAUGCUACAGAACACCGAUUGCGAAGGCAGCUUACUAAGCCGAUACUGACGCUGAGGCACGAAAGCGUGGGGAGCGAACAGGAUUAGAUACCCUGGUAGUCCACGCUGUAAACGAUGAUCACUCGUUGUUGGCGAUACACUGUCAGCGACCAAGCGAAAGCGUUAAGUGAUCCACCUGGGGAGUACGUUCGCAAGAAUAAAACUCAAAGGAAUUGACGGGGGCCCGCACAAGCGGAGGAACAUGUGGUUUAAUUCGAUGAUACGCGAGGAACCUUACCCGGACUUAAAUGUAGAAUGACCGUCGCCGAAAGGUGAUUCCCUUCGGGGCAAUUUACAAGGUGCUGCAUGGCUGUCGUCAGCUCGUGCCGUGAGGUGUCGGGUUAAGUCCCAUAACGAGCGCAACCCCUAUCAUUAGUUGCCAGCGGAUAAUGCCGGGGACUUAAAGAAACUGCCCGCGCAAGCGGAGAGGAAGGUGGGGACGACGUCAAGUCAUCACGGCCCUUAUGUCCAGGGCUACACACGUGCUACAAUGGCGAAUACAAAGGGCAGCUACCUGGUGACAGGAUGCUAAUCUCUAAAAUUCGUCCUAGUUCGGAUCGAAGUCUGCAACUCGACUUCGUGAAGCUGGAAUCGCUAGUAAUCGCGCAUCAGCCAUGGCGCGGUGAAUACGUUCCCGGGCCUUGUACACACCGCCCGUCAAACAAUGGAAGCUGGGGGUACCUGAAGUCGGUCGCCGUAAGGAGCUGCCUAGGGUAAAACUAGUAACUGGGGCUAAGUCGUAACAAGGUAGCCGUACCGGAAGGUGUGGCUGGAACACCUCCUU